Molecule: ribosomal RNA, 327 nt
Filed under: uncultured eukaryote
Lineage: Eukaryota
Description: partial 18S ribosomal RNA
Rfam family: Eukaryotic small subunit ribosomal RNA
Source: RNAcentral
CCCUUAGAUGUUCUGGGCCGCACACGCGCUACACUGAAGGAGGCAGCGUGUACUCCUGGAUCGAAAGAUUUGGGUAACCCGCGAAUCUCCUUCGUGCUGGGGAUUGAGGUUUGCAAUUAUCCUUCAUGAACGAGGAAUUCCCAGUAAGUGCAAGUCAUAAGCUUGCGCUGACUACGUCCCUGCCCUUUGUACACACCGCCCGUCGCUACUACCGAUUGAAUGAUUUAGUGAGGACUUCGGACUGGGACCGAUGCGGCUUUCGGGCUGCGUCGGUAUUCUGGAAAGAUGUCCAAACUGUNUNAUUUAUNGGAAGUAAAANUCGUANCA